This 205-nucleotide ribosomal RNA is filed under the name uncultured bacterium. RNAcentral's name for it is "partial 16S ribosomal RNA". It matches the Rfam family "Bacterial small subunit ribosomal RNA", at positions 568 to 774 of the family's 1533-position model. The record is from RNAcentral.
UGCGCAGGCGGUUUUGUAAGACAGGCGUGAAAUCCCCGGGCUUAACCUGGGAAUUGCGCUUGUGACUGCAAGGCUGGAGUGCGGCAGAGGGGGAUGGAAUUCCGCGUGUAGCAGUGAAAUGCGUAGAUAUGCGGAGGAACACCGAUGGCGAAGGCAAUCCCCUGGGCCUGCACUGACGCUCAUGCACGAAAGCUGGGAGCAAACA